This is an RNA transcript of Prosopis cineraria, 1650 nucleotides long. RefSeq lists it as uncharacterized. The transcript has 3 exons. The record is from RefSeq and is a predicted model, not a curated record. NCBI's taxonomy places the organism in Eukaryota, Viridiplantae, Streptophyta, Magnoliopsida, Fabales, Fabaceae.
UAACAAUUAAACAUGAAUUUAUAUUAACAUGUUAAGAUUUGUAAGCUGGGUUGCAGAGAUUUUUUUUUCUAAAGACAAUUUUCCCAUACAGCCCCCUGUUGCCCCCGACACCCCUUACCCUCCCUUUUGCGCACAUCUCACGCGACGUCGCACACGCCGCCGCCAAUCUCUUCCUUUCUGCUUCAGAUUGACUUCCCCUUCGCCUAAAGUGUGAGGUGACUGGGUUGAAUUACUUAAGUAUUAGGCUUUUAAGUUGAAGAAACCGAAGAAAGGUACACAAUUAAAUGGAUAUACAAGGGAGAGCAACGUUAUAAAUACCUCUAUGAUGCUGGAGCCUAGGAGGGCAGUUGCUGCUACACCCAAACACUUACAAGAUGCAAGGUGCAAACACAGCAAAUAGAUGGCGUCAGAAGAGAGAAGUUUAAAAUAUUGGAAGUAUGGAAAAUGCUUAGAAAUUGUUUGAUUGCACGAUAGAAUGCCCAGGGAACCGAUGUUCAGCAGGGGAGGAAUCAUUCCUGCCCUGAAAAUCUGCUUACAAGUUUGCCCAUAUUACUGGGUUCUGCUUGCCUUUGGGGUCUAAUGAUCAGUCCAAGCAAGUAGAUAUUCAUAGAGUUAAGCAACACACGUUCUUGUUGAGUACAGAGAGUUGACUCCCAGAGAACCAGUUUUCUGCGUAACAAUUUUCAUUUUUUUCCAUAAACCCCCACCCAGCAAUGCAUAUAUGUAUAUAGUCGAAGGUGACUGGAUGGACGACUCUGCUUCUCUUUCAAACCUAUUAGUGUGUUGAUAUUACUGCACUCCUUCCUUUUGUGCCCAGUGGUGUAUCACUUAGGUUUAGAUGGAAGGAGAAGAUAAAUUAUUUGUUUCAGGAGAAUCUGGCGUACAAGAAAUUAAGAUAUAAACCACUUCCCUCUGUUCAUGAAUUAACUGAAUUAUUCAACGAUAUCACAACACAGGUCACAGAUAUGGACGCUUGCGGCUGCUGUUGCAUAAAGUCUUGAAAUGAACUUACAAGAGGGAUUAGGAGACAACGAUGAAAUUCAUAGGAUGAGUGGUGGAGAAGGUUCUGAGCUUGAGCAAAUUAAUUUAAGCAAUAUUGGAGCACACAAUGGUGUUACCAAUUCAAGUAGGAAACGGAAGAGAGGUGAACAUGGUGAGAGAAAUAAAGAGAAGAAAAGGGAGAAACUGUCAGUCAAGAGGGAAAUAGUUGAUGCAUUGAAUCGAAUAUCUGAUGCAUUUGAGUCACAAACAGCUUCUAUACAGUCACUUCUUACACCUGAUUCCUCUAUGGGUGAAAUUAUUGCUGAAAUCAGUCAAAUUGAGGAGAUUGCAAAUGAUGAUGAUUGGUUUGGACGGUGUUGUACUCUCCUAAGGAAUAAGGAUGCAUGGGCAAUUUAUUCAGCACUUAAAGAUAACCGGAGAAUGCUAUUGGCCUUCUUGAAGCAUGCGGCGUACAACCCACCAAAAAACUUAGUACCACCUUUUCUUCGUUAUAUAUUAUAGUUACAACUUGGUAGAAGUGAUUUAUUUUACAUCUUGUUCUGUGUUAGUUCUACGCUCCAUAAAUGAUCUUUGUUAAAAACUGGCUGACAAAACUAUGUAUGUUUUGUCUUGCAUGGUAUUUAUGCUAGUGAUGUUUUGAGUUAUCAA